CGGGUGCUUCAACCGGUGGGUCGGCCUUCUCUUCUUCCUUGACUUCAACGGGUGCGGGUGCUUCAGUUUCGACUUUUACUUCAGUUUCAGCAGCAGAGGUGGCAGGUUGGUCUUCCUCUUUCUUUUCCUCGGGAGCUGGUUUAUCUUUAUCUUUGGCAGGAGGGGGUGUGAAUUCGUGCUUGUUAAGGGCUUCUUGAAUAAGUUGCUUAAGCUCAUCAAGAGCCUUCUUUUGUGGGUCAGGAAGUUCACCGGCUAUAUUGGUUUCUUCUUUGAAAGAAGCAGACUCAGUUACCUUAGUGUCCUUAGCUUCAACCUUAGGCUCCUCCUCAACAGCCUCAGCAGGUUUGUCUUCAACAACAGCAUCAGCAGGCUUCUCGGGAGCAUCCUCCUGUUCACUCUCUUUCUCCACCACCACUUCCUCAGUAGGAGCAGGGGCUGCAGCAGCUUCAGGCUUUUGAGUCUCCUCAGCCAUGGAUGAGAUUGUAAACGAGAAAGAAAAAGAAAUGAAAAUGCAGAG
RNAcentral lists this long non-coding RNA (517 nucleotides) under Gossypium barbadense (sea-island cotton). RNAcentral describes it as "long non-coding RNA (GBAR_LNC012718)". Lineage: Eukaryota; Viridiplantae; Streptophyta; Magnoliopsida; Malvales; Malvaceae. The record is from RNAcentral.